AUGUCAAACCUUUACAGGAUUAGUUUAUUUAGAUCUUGGAGCCAAGAAGACCAAAUCAAGGAUACACCCUCCAAGAGGAGAUUAUUCAUUCAGCGCAGGGAGGCCCAGAUGGUUAUCAGGAGACUUCUGGCUCGCCGUGCACCUCAUCUGAGGCACAGGCAAAAAUAGAAGCAGAGGAUUAGGCCACACCUGCAGCCUGAGACGGGCAGACAGGACCUGCCUCAUGUGGGUCCCUCAGGCGGAUGAGUCCCAGACUGAUCUGACAGUGUGACAGGCCUCAGCAUGAUGCUCAACCUAAAAUAAUCACACUAUGUCUCCACAUGUGUGCUUUAUUGUUUUACUCUCAUUAGAGGUGUUUGCUAAGGCAAGUGUCAAAUCACUCAACUUGUACGUGAGUUUAUUGUAUUGCCACGAAAUAAACAAAUUAAAAAGAUAACGGCGACUUUUUUA
Long non-coding RNA from Cyprinus carpio (common carp), 450 nucleotides. The record is from Ensembl. Lineage: Eukaryota; Metazoa; Chordata; Actinopteri; Cypriniformes; Cyprinidae.